Molecule: RNA transcript, 1874 nt
Organism: Cornus florida
Lineage: Eukaryota; Viridiplantae; Streptophyta; Magnoliopsida; Cornales; Cornaceae
Gene name: lysine-specific demethylase JMJ30
Exons: 7
Source: RefSeq, a predicted model, not a curated record
UCUGUGUCUCUCUCGCUGUCAAUCUUGUGCUUCACGAAGUAUCCCUUUAUCCCACAGCAGACUUCAAACUCUCUUCUAAAGCUCUCAGAAGCUUUUCACCGCUGCCAAUGGCUGCCGGCCCCGGCAAUUCCUCCGACGUACUGGAAACCCCAUUCCUCGACGCCGAAAGACCCAACAUCCUCCAGAGGAUCUCCGAGGAAGGCGGCUACGCCUACGUCAGCAUGGCGGCCCGCGCCGCCUCCGGCGACUUCCGGGCGGCGGAGGCGUCGCGCGAGAUGGCGUGGGAGCAGCUCCACUCCGGCCCUUGGCACUCUGUGCUCCCCAUCUGGAGGGACGCGUACUCGAUGGCUUGCCUCCACGUGGCCAACUUCCAUUACACCCACGGUGACUUUAGGGAGGCCAUUAGGGUUCUUGACAUGGGGUUGAUCAUGGGAGGGAUGGUUCUGCGUAAGGAUUUGGAUUCGGCGGUCCAAAAGGUGUCGGGGAAGGCGACUGCUCUCGACGAGGCCGCUGAGGGUUCUGCAAAAGUUGAAUGUCGAUUCAUUGACGAAGAAAUUGAUGAAGCGGAGGUGCUACGGGUUUUACCCAUGAAGUCAUUGUCUUGUAAGAUUGUUGGGAAAAUAUCUGCUCUUUCUUUGGAGGGAUUCCUGCGUGAUUAUUUCCUGUCAGGUUCUCCAGUUAUAAUCAGUGAUUGUAUGGAACAUUGGCCGGCUAGGACAAAGUGGAAUGACAUGGAUUAUCUAAAAAGGGUUGCUGGCUUACGCACAGUUCCAGUUGAGGUUGGGAGAAACUAUUUAUGCCCAGAGUGGAAGCAAGAGCUAAUAACAUUUUCCCAGUUUCUUGAGAGGAUCAAGUCAAAUAACUGCACUGCGGUGGUCCCUACAUAUUUAGCUCAGCAUCAAUUGUUUGAUCAGAUAGAAGAUCUAAGAAAGGACAUCGUUAUUCCUGACUAUUGUUUUGUCGGUGGCGGGGAGCUCAGGUCACUUAAUGCUUGGUUCGGUCCAGUUGGGACCGUGACACCAUUGCACCAUGAUCCACACCAUAAUAUACUUGCUCAGGUUGUUGGCAAAAAGUACAUUAGGCUUUACCCUGCUUCAUUGUCAGAGGAACUUUACCCACACGCUGAAUCCAUGCUUAGCAAUUCCAGUCAGGUUAAUUUGGACAAGAUAGAUGAGAAAGAGUUCCCGGAGGUGCAGGAUCUGGAAUUUCUGGAUUGCAUUCUACAGGAGGGCGAAAUGCUUUAUAUCCCUCCAAAAUGGUGGCACUACGUUCGAUCCCUCACCACAAGUUUUUCUGUUAGCUUUUGGUGGAGUGACAACAAUUCACUGAUUUCCUGACGGUCUCUCGUUUCAUUUUGCUGCUUCUAUGCUCUCUCAUGUACCAUGCACAUUGCUAAACAUUUUAUAUCUUAUCAUUCUAUACGAACAGGAAAUGAACAGAAAUUGAAGGAGGCAUGCUAUGUGCAGAUUUUUUUUUUCGUAACUCGAAACACCAACUUUGUUUUUAUGGGUGUUCGGAAAAAAAAUAAAAUAAAAUGUGAACCUAAGACAAUGUUCCGAAAAAUUUUAUCCAGCUGUAAAACUAAUCUGUUUUUUGGUGCAAGUUAUGGGACAAUAAGUUGAUUGGACUAGUGAAUGGAAUGACAGUUGAUCAAAUCGACCGUUCCUCCAAAAGCACCAGAUAUGGAAACUUUCUUGACCCAAUGAUGAAAUCCUCCUGUUAGCAGUUAGCACUUUUUUUUUCUUUUUUUUUUUUUUGUCCGUUUUUUCUUUUUCACUUCUUGCAUUUAUUAUUGUGGCUAAUAGUGUUGACUUUCUUCUCUCUGUGCUGCUUAAGUUAUAAUGUCAAUCGUGUAAGGUUUAUUAUAUUUUGUU